CGGGGGAGGUUGCUUCGGUAACUGACCUAGCGGCGGACGGGUGAGUAAUACUUAGGAAUCUGCCUAUUAAUGGGGGACAACAUCUCGAAAGGGAUGCUAAUACCGCAUACGCCCUACGGGGGAAAGCAGGGGAUCACUUGUGACCUUGCGUUAAUAGAUGAGCCUAAGUCGGAUUAGCUAGUUGGUGGGGUAAAGGCCUACCAAGGCGACGAUCUGUAGCGGGUCUGAGAGGAUGAUCCGCCACACUGGGACUGAGACACGGCCCAGACUC
Molecule: ribosomal RNA, 271 nt
Filed under: uncultured bacterium
Lineage: Bacteria
Description: partial 16S ribosomal RNA
Rfam family: Bacterial small subunit ribosomal RNA
Source: RNAcentral